Molecule: ribosomal RNA, 440 nt
Filed under: uncultured bacterium
Lineage: Bacteria
Description: partial 16S ribosomal RNA
Rfam family: Bacterial small subunit ribosomal RNA
Source: RNAcentral
CCUACGGGUGGCAGCAGUGGGGAAUAUUGCACAAUGGGGGAAACCCUGAUGCAGCGACGCCGCGUGAGUGAAGAAGUAUUUCGGUAUGUAAAGCUCUAUCAGCAGGGAAGAAAAUGACGGUACCUGACUAAGAAGCCCCGGCUAACUACGUGCCAGCAGCCGCGGUAAUACGUAGGGGGCAAGCGUUAUCCGGAUUUACUGGGUGUAAAGGGAGCGUAGACGGUAAUGCAAGUCUGAAGUGAAAUCCCAUGGCUUAACCCCGGGACUGCUUUUGAAACUGUGCGACUGGAGUGCAGGAGAGGUAAGCGGAAUUCCUGGUGUAGCGGUGAAAUGCGUAGAUAUCAGGAGGAACACCAGUGGCGAAGGCGGCUUACUGGACUGUAACUGACGUUGAGGCUCGAAAGCGUGGGGAGCAAACAGGAUUAGAUACCCCUGUAGUC